AGCAAGGUAGUUUAAAUAAAAUAUUUAUUUUACACGUAAAAGUUAUUCUUUAGGGAUUAUUGCUA
RNAcentral lists this transfer RNA (65 nucleotides) under Sphyranura euryceae. Its description in RNAcentral is "tRNA-Val". Lineage: Eukaryota; Metazoa; Platyhelminthes; Monogenea; Polystomatidea; Sphyranuridae. The record is from RNAcentral.